AAAUAUUUAGGUUAUUUUUAAACCUUUGACCUUCAAAGUCAACAUUCUUUUUUUUAAGAGUAUUU
RNAcentral lists this transfer RNA (65 nucleotides) under Planorbis carinatus. Its description in RNAcentral is "tRNA-Trp". The record is from RNAcentral. Lineage: Eukaryota; Metazoa; Mollusca; Gastropoda; Planorbidae.